RNAcentral lists this ribosomal RNA (220 nucleotides) under uncultured bacterium. RNAcentral's name for it is "partial 16S ribosomal RNA". It matches the Rfam family "Bacterial small subunit ribosomal RNA", at positions 524 to 737 of the family's 1533-position model. The record is from RNAcentral.
UACGAAGGGGGCUAGCGUUGUUCGGAUUUACUGGGCGUAAAGCGCACGUAGGCGGAUUGUUAAGUGAGAGGUGAAAUCCCGGAGCUCAAACUCCCGGAACUGCCUUUCAUACUGGCAAAUCUAGAGUCCGGAAGAGGUGAGUGGAACUCCUAGUGUAGAGGUGGAAAUUCGUAGAUAUUAGGAAGAACACCAGUGGCGAAGGCGGGACUCACUGGUCCCG